GAAUCAGUGGUGCGUUCAGAGACAGUCGCAGGUUAUGUCAGCUUGUGUGCUGUGUCUUUAUUUUCAGGAAGUCAGCCUUUUCUCUGCCUGAACAGUGAGCUGCAUCUGAACGCUUCCCCUUCUGCACCACUGACCCUGAUGAAAGCAAUGUUCACUCCCUGCCAGCGCUGCAAUUUCCCCCAUACAACACACAGACCUACAAGCAGGACGACCAAGAGCCUGAUGACAGCUCCUUCCAGAGAGCACAGCCUCAGAUGACACGAAUGAGGGAUAGGGGCUGUUCGGCCUGCGAUGUAGUGCCGCUGUGUGACUUUCAGAGGGGUGUUGGUUGCGGCGUGUGAAUCUGAAGGGCGAGAGGGUGGAUCACGAGGGGCCUGGAUCAUCAGGACACACACACACUCCCUCUGUGACAUCCAAGAGGGUCCGCAUCGCCAAGAACUCCAACCAGUCGAUGGCCCAGCAUGCUCUGCUCUCCACACCCUCGCAGCACGCCUGAAAUCACAGCCCUCCUGCAUCGCCUCAAACUGACAAAUGACGUAAUGUGCAGAAUCAAGCACCGGCCUUCGGAUGAAAAGAAACAUGUCCGCCACUGUCCCCAUCGGAAUGGAGAGGAGGUAUUGGACAUGUGCGUGAGACGCUAGGUAUUUUUGACCUGACAUCUCCUUCUGAAAGCGGUACACACACACACACACACUAAUUAAAUACCUCUUUUUAGUUACUUAGUAGAGUGCUUGCUUUGUACAGGACUUUCCCAUUAACUUCCAUUCAUGAAG
Molecule: long non-coding RNA, 773 nt
Filed under: Astyanax mexicanus (Mexican tetra)
Lineage: Eukaryota; Metazoa; Chordata; Actinopteri; Characiformes; Acestrorhamphidae
Description: lncRNA (ENSAMXG00005019071.1)
Source: RNAcentral